UUCAGAGACUCUUGCUUUAUUACCUCAGUUCUUCCGAUGCCUUAAUUGAGAAGUAAUAAAUGCUGCCAGUCAUUUGGAGCAUUCCCUCAAUUAGUACCGCUAUCAAUAUGUAAUCAUCAAACACGUGUUAAAAAAUAAAUAGAAAAUACAAAUCCUCAAGGGAAGGGAUGGAAAAAAAAAUUAGGGGAAAAGGCAAGGUCACUCAAUUUGGACCUGGCCAUUUGUAAUUACAUUUGCGUAGGGAAGGCAACUACUACAAGCAAACCACCCAACUCCACCAAAUAUUUGGAAAAAUUUACUGGAAAUGUAUACAAAAUCGAUGGUUAUCUCUCUAAGUAGACUUCUGUUGAUCCUCAUGAAUUGCAGAAGAAAUCCAAUCUGAAGUUGUUACAUGAAUGUCUGGCUCAAUACAUGGAGAAAGCGAUAGGGGAAUUAUGGCAACCUGGUGUUCAAAUUAAAACAAAGAGGCACUAAAUUAAUUCAAUGUUCAGAGAGAAAAGGCAAAAACAGCUCUUCAAAAACCUAUCUCCAAUUUAUAAGUCAAAUCUACUAGUUGAAGCAUUCAAAAAGAAUUUAGCCCCUGAUGCUCGAGUCUUUUUGUUCAAGACCUUAUCACUUGUAAGCCUUUUAUCUAGUGCGUGAAUAAUCUACCAAGUGUAAACCAUCAUCAAAAUUCCAAGAAUGAAAACAAAAAUAUUGAGCUCAUCCCAAUUACAACUGUUGCUAUGAUGAUGGCUUCCACACCAGUAAAAGCCACAGGCUUGUAGAUGGACCCAUCCCUCAAAUGAAUAUAUAAUGCAAGAAACCAUUGGUCAAAUUGGUGGAUUUGCAAUUUCAAAAAUGAACAGGAAACCCUUUAAUAGCAAAAGUACAGUGUUUCAACUUACAAAUCCAUUUUCAAGUGCUCUGAAAUCCAGAUCCUCAUCAGAAUCUUCCUGCUCCUUGUCCAGAAACUCUAGACGAAAAUACUUUUUCACACGAUUAGUAUCAGAUUUUCCUGAAGCCCCAACUGAUUCAAUUUCAACAUUCUUCCUUUGUGUGGUCAGACGGCGAGCUGCACCAGCAGCAGAAGCGUCUCGACUAAGUUGUGCAAGCUGAAUGCCAAGACUUUGUUGGUUAGACAUAAAAUGUCCAGUAGAAGGAUGCCGGUUGGCUGAAACAGCUAGCCAGCUAGGCGAGGAUCUCCACAUACUUUGUUUAGUCAGUUUGAAACCCUGCCAAGUAAGCAAACAUGCCAAGCCAAAAAGAGAGAAAAUGUAGAGUAUUAGCUGAAAGUUAUGUCACAAAAAAUGAAGAGAUAGCAACAUCCAGUAAGUUGUACAGUAUAAAGCUUCAAUACUCCAAAGUGCAGCCAAAUAAGCAUAAAGAGAGAGAAAGCACCAAUGCCUUUAAUUUAAAUCCAUCACUAGCAUGCCAAUGAAAAUGCAGUGCUCACACAAAAGAAGUUAAAAAUUAUCAACGGCGAUGAGGUAAAACUAGACCCAGUCAGGGGCAAGUUCAGGCCCUGAACUGGACUGAAACUGGCCUUGAACCUAUCUAGCCCCCUCUCCCAACCCUAAACCGGAUUUUUUUUCUUUUAAAGACAACGUAGCAGAUCGAACCUGAUCCAACCACUCAAAACAGGAACCAGAACCACCAUUGGACCAGACUAGAACCAGCCUUGAACCAUCUUGAACUGGAACCAGUUGGAACUGCCUAAGACCAGUCCAGUUCCAGUUCAUCCCCUUUCUCAACCCUGAACUGACAAUUCCGGUCUCUGAACCAUCCCAGACUCGACCGGUGGCCAAGUCUAGGUAAAACGUCUUGUUAUUUUAUCAUGACAGGCAAAAGGACAAACCUCUUUCACAGAAAUAUGCAAUGAUAUUUGCUUCUGGUAUCAGCAAUUGGAAUCCAUUCAAAAUAAAAAAAUCAAGGGAAGUGGUGCAAGGAUGUGAGAGAGAGAUUAUAAGGUGAAGGGAAAAAAGUUUUUUACUUACACAAGAAUUUAGUGUUUUCAAAUGGUAGACGUUUAGAUCAGGCCAUAAAAUCGGUCAAGGUACUAAGAACAUAGCCUCUAUAAUUACUACCUAAGGAUCAAGUUGAAACACCAAGAGAUCAAAACAUAAACCAAUCUCUAUCAACUCCAGAUAAAUAGCCAAAAGUUUACAUUUUCAGUUUUGUCGUUGUCGAUUACUUUGAAGUUGAAGAGUAAAUAAACUACAAGCCAAGAAACCAAGAAAGGUUCAUGGCAAGUCCUGUAAAAGGCAGAGGAUGGUGAUAAAUAAUCAUAUAUGUUGAAACUUGGACAAAUAUCAACAGACUUUAGCAACAAACUAAAUACUCCCCCAAAGUAUGAGUACAAAACUAUUUAUAUACGAUCACUCAAGCCUCUACAAAAGAUAUAGUUAACUUGAGCCUUGCAAUAUGCUUGCACAAUUAAAGUCAGCAAUCAAACUGCCCAACAGACAGACUGUUGUUGCCCAAAUAACUUGGAUCAAUGAUGGUCAGAAUUGUGCCCUGGAUAAUAGUUAAUUUUCCUGCUGUUGCUAUCUAUAAAAGAGUUCAGCAUUUGCAUAAACAAAAUAUUCAAAUUUUAGCCAUAUAUGCAUGUUUCAAUUCCUAGCUCCACCAUUGAUUUUCAUCCAUCAAUAAGUCCAAAAGUACUCGAACAAUUAACAGAUAAACCUUAAAAGUUAAAACCCAAUUUGUCAAACCUUAUCACUGCCUGCAAUUCAGGAUUAUAAAGUUUUUAUGCUGCCUCUUUGCCUGACAGUACAUCACUUAUGCCAAAUAAUCCUGAUCAUGCCUAACAUAUUAGAAGAGAUAUGCCCACAUGGAUAUUGGAAGUUCAAGGCAUUAAUCAUAUACAAGUUAUUGAAAGGCGCAUCUCAACAUAUAAUCAAGUUACAAAUAGCAUAUUUCCUCAGUGAUUUACUGUCACAGCAUUUUACUCAGCAGUAACGCAUCCAGUUUGCACACCUUCCAGAACACAACUUCUGACUAGCAGGAUUAAAUCUACUUACCUUAAGGUAAAUGAGGCAUAGGCUGAAUGUCAGUAAACAACUGUCCAAUGACAGGAAAAUAUUUGUUUUUGAGCCACUACUAACAUGUAAUACCCUCAGGCCUCAACUGAGAACCUUAAUCAAUGUUCUAAUAAAUGACUACUUGCACUUUGCUUUAAUCGUAUUGCAGUGAGUGAUUAAUUAGAGGAGUUCACAAGCCCUUUGCCUUUGUGUUGGAGUAACCAAUUGUCCUCCACAUCUAAUGUGUCAAGCAUCUACAUAUGGAGUUAUGGACACAAUUUUUGCAAUAAUUACCUAGAUGAUAAAUGUAAUUGCUGCAAAACUUAUAUUUAAAAGGUAAGAAUUUUUGCAACACUCUAGGAUAACCUUAAGCUGCUAAUGAACCAUAUCUGAUGCGUCCCACAUCAGUUUUGCAAAGA
RNAcentral lists this unclassified non-coding RNA (3421 nucleotides) under Hevea brasiliensis (rubber tree). The record is from RNAcentral. Lineage: Eukaryota; Viridiplantae; Streptophyta; Magnoliopsida; Malpighiales; Euphorbiaceae.